GUUUUGAGUCAGUAAGGGCAUUUCAACUUCCAGAAAUGGUUUUAAGGGAAGAUUUUAUGGUACAUACUCACAUCAUUUAUGAGAUAUCGUAGCUGGGACGUCUGAAUAACUUCUCUAUUCAACCUUUUCCCACAUCAUGGAAUGAACCACCAGUUUUGAGUUAUUUUGCUGCUCGCUCAUAAAAUUUACGACAAAUGGUUGGUCGUGAAUGAAAAUUCGAAAA
This is a long non-coding RNA of Parasteatoda tepidariorum (common house spider), 223 nucleotides long. NCBI's taxonomy places the organism in Eukaryota, Metazoa, Arthropoda, Arachnida, Araneae, Theridiidae. The record is from RefSeq and is a predicted model, not a curated record.